GAAAGUCUCUUUCAAUAUGAGAGACAGAAAGCAGAAACAGUAGUAAGAAUCAAGGAAGAUAAAUAUUUUCAAACUUCUAGAAAGAAAAUUUAAACAUUUGGUUCUGGAUACAUGUUGAACCUAGUUGAAUAUAAAAAUCAGUAGAUAAAAACUGUGUUUACUAUACUGUACAAUUCCAUUUACAUGAAGCAUCCAGAAAAGAGAAAUAUAUAGGUGGUUGUGAGACAACUUCAACAAGAAGUGGCUGAUUCCCUUAAAAAAUUAACUAUGUUAGAGUCUCCACUGGAAGGUACAUGAUGUCACAUUAAUUUGGAAGAGACACGGGCCUCAAAGAGGAAAUUAUUUCAAGUGGAAAGUCAAAUAUAAGAAACUCCUGGAAAUGACAAUAAAUGUGUUAAGUGUAUUUGGAAAUGAAGACUUCGAUUGCCAUGGAGACUUAAAAACAGAUCAACUGAAAAUGAAUAUUCUGAUUAAGAAACUAAAACAUAAGUUUGAUGAUCUUACAGCAGAGAAGGAAGCUGUAUCUUCAAAAUGUGUCGAUUUGGCUAAAGACAAUCAAGUUCUUCAACAGGAGUUAUUAUCUAUGAAAAAAGUACAACAGCAAUGUGAAAAACUUGAGAAGGAUAAAAAGAUGUUGGAAGAAGAAAUAUUAAAUCUUAAGACACAUAUGGAAGACAAUAUGGUAGAACUUAGUAAACUACAAGAAUAUAAAUCGGAGCUAGAUGAAAGGGCAAUGACGGCAGUAGAAAAAUUAGAAGAAAUCCAUUUACAGAUCUAAUAAGAAAAUAGCAAUGAUCAGCACCAAGCUCCUUAUGGAGAAAGAGCGGGUGAAAUAUUUUCUCAGCACUCUUCCUACAAGGCGAGGCCCAGAGUCACCUUGUGUUGAAAAUCUUACUAGUAUAGGACUCAACAGAAAAUAUAUUCCCCAAAUGCCCGUAAGAAUUCCUACUUCAAACCCUCAGACCUCAAAUAACUGCCAGAACUACUUGACUGAGAUGGAGCUGGACUGUGUGGAACAAAUAAUUAGAGAAACAAAGAGAACUGUUGCUGUGUUGGACACUUGCUCCCAUCUAUUUUCUUCUCUAGAAUCCACUGCGCUGGAAUGAGUAAUUUUUUUUAGAAGCAGAGGUGGAGCCACUGAGGAAGCACAGGCGAGCCCUCCCCAGCGUGUACUCACUGGUCCCCAACAGAAGAACAGCUGCUGCAUCCACUGAGGUACCAAGAAACUAGCAAAGGGCCUUCUGGCUCUCUGGGGACAGUCCUCAUGUGGUCCCUGGCUCAGCCUCAGAGGUUCUGGAUUAGUCUUCCUGUAGCCUCUGUGCUGUGUCUUUAGAUCGGGGC
This is an RNA transcript of Homo sapiens (human), 1341 nucleotides long. It is a transcript of the gene named ankyrin repeat domain 18B pseudogene, with no coding region annotated. The transcript has 8 exons. The record is from RefSeq and is marked validated. NCBI's taxonomy places the organism in Eukaryota, Metazoa, Chordata, Mammalia, Primates, Hominidae.